GCGUGAGAGACAGGCCGCGCAUCUGAGCGUUGGACUGUUCGGACGCCCGUCUGCCUGUUUUUCUAUUUUGGUAUUUAGCCUGGUUUGGUGGCCUCCCGGCGAAUUAUUGCGUUCAUUCGGAACAUCGACAAGGCAGCACUGCACUAUUGGACUACGGCAAGCUCACGUCGUCUGGUGGAGCUUCCUGCUGAAACUACUGCUGCUUACCUGGUGCCACAACGCUGGAUGAAUGCACAAAAGGCCCGCGACGAGCAUUUACAAAGAAAAAAAUAAACGUUAAUUUUUCCACA
Molecule: long non-coding RNA, 290 nt
Organism: Dermacentor albipictus
Lineage: Eukaryota; Metazoa; Arthropoda; Arachnida; Ixodida; Ixodidae
Source: RefSeq, a predicted model, not a curated record